AGAGCGAACGCUGGCGGCAGGCCUAACACAUGCAAGUCGAACGGAUCCUUCGGGAUUAGUGGCGGACGGGUGAGUAACACGUGGGAACGUGCCUUUUGGUUCGGAACAACUCAGGGAAACUUGAGCUAAUACCGGAUAAGCCCUUCGGGGGAAAGAUUUAUCGCCAUUAGAGCGGCCCGCGUAGGAUUAGCUAGUUGGUGGGGUAAAGGCCCACCAAGGCUACGAUCCUUAGCUGGUCUGAGAGGAUGAUCAGCCACAUUGGGACUGAGACACGGCCCAAACUCC
RNAcentral lists this ribosomal RNA (285 nucleotides) under uncultured bacterium. RNAcentral describes it as "partial 16S ribosomal RNA". It matches the Rfam family "Bacterial small subunit ribosomal RNA", at positions 26 to 339 of the family's 1533-position model. The record is from RNAcentral.